AUGUCACGAACGUANCGGUUAGGCCCUAAACCCGCAAAAGGGGGGAGGGCGGUACCCUACGGUAGUGGUUNAGUGAUUGGGGUG
Molecule: ribosomal RNA, 84 nt
Filed under: uncultured bacterium
Lineage: Bacteria
Description: partial 16S ribosomal RNA
Source: RNAcentral